GAUGAGGUAGUUCAGUGGAAGAAUUUCCGGCUCUCACCCGGUUGGUCGCAGGUUCGAGCCCUGCCCUCAUCC
Molecule: transfer RNA, 72 nt
Filed under: Hymenobacter sp. BT18
Lineage: Bacteria; Pseudomonadati; Bacteroidota; Cytophagia; Cytophagales; Hymenobacteraceae
Description: tRNA-Glu
Rfam family: tRNA
About the family: Transfer RNA (tRNA) molecules are approximately 80 nucleotides in length.
Source: RNAcentral